AUACUUACCUGGCAGGGGAGAUACCAUGAUCACUAAGGUGGUUCUCCCAGGGCGAGGCUCAUCCAUAGAUGACCCCUGUGAUUUCUCCAAAUGCAGAGAACUCGACUGCAUAAUUUGUAGUAGUGGGGGACUGCGUUCAAGCUCUCCCUUU
RNAcentral lists this small nuclear RNA (151 nucleotides) under Erpetoichthys calabaricus (reedfish). Its description in RNAcentral is "U1 spliceosomal RNA (ENSECRG00000020298.1)". It matches the Rfam family "U1 spliceosomal RNA". From Rfam's summary of the family: U1 is a small nuclear RNA (snRNA) component of the spliceosome (involved in pre-mRNA splicing). Its 5' end forms complementary base pairs with the 5' splice junction, thus defining the 5' donor site of an intron. Lineage: Eukaryota; Metazoa; Chordata; Cladistia; Polypteriformes; Polypteridae. The record is from Rfam by way of RNAcentral.